Molecule: small nuclear RNA, 22 nt
Filed under: Arabidopsis thaliana (thale cress)
Lineage: Eukaryota; Viridiplantae; Streptophyta; Magnoliopsida; Brassicales; Brassicaceae
Description: snRNA_06229
Source: RNAcentral
CUCCGGGCGUCGGCCUGUGGGC